RNAcentral lists this ribosomal RNA (862 nucleotides) under Chloroflexota bacterium. Its description in RNAcentral is "Chloroflexi bacterium partial 23S ribosomal RNA". It matches the Rfam family "Bacterial large subunit ribosomal RNA", at positions 2060 to 2925 of the family's 2925-position model. The record is from RNAcentral. Lineage: Bacteria; Bacillati; Chloroflexota.
CGCGGGCGACCCGCGGCAGGACAAAAAGACCCCGUGGAGCUUUACUGUAGCCUGGUAUUGGGCUGGGAGCUGUCAUGUGUAGGAUAGGUGGGAGGCUGAGAAGCCCCGACGCCAGUCGGGGUGGAGCCAUCGUUGAAAUACCACCCUUGGCAGUUUUUGGUUCUAACCUGCAUAGCGGGGACAGUGCCUGGUGGGCAGUUUAACUGGGGCGGUUGCCUCCUAAAAGGUAACGGAGGCGCCCAAAGGUCCCCUCAGGACGGAUGGAAAUCGUCCACAGAACGCAUUGGCAUAAGGGGGCUUGACUGCAAGACCUACAAGUCGAGCAGGGACGAAAGUCGGGCAAAGUGAUCCUACGGCACCGUGUGGAAGGGCCGUGGCUUAUCGGAUAAAAGCUACCCCGGGGAUAACAGGCUUAUCUCGCCCAAGAGUUCACAUCGACGGCGAGGUUUGGCACCUCGAUGUCGCCUCGUCCCAUCCUGGGGCUGAAGGAGGUCCCAAGGGUUCGGCUGUUCGCCGAUUAAAGGGGUACGUGAGUUGGGUUCAGAACGUCGUGAGACAGUUCGGUCUCUAUCCGCCGUGGGCGCAGGAGGCUUGAGGGAACCUUUCCCUAGUACGAGAGGACCGGGAAGGACAAACCUAUGGUGUUCCAGUUGUUCCGCCAGGAGCAGCGCUGGGUAGCCAUGUUUGGCAGCGAUAAGCGCUGAAGGCAUCUAAGCGCGAAGCAUCCCCCAAGAUUAGGCCUCCCUCCCCGAUUCAGUUCGGGGGUAAGACUGCAGCGAGACUAGCUGCUUGAUAGGCCGGAUGUGUAAGGCUGGUAACAGCUUCAGCAAACCGGUACUAACCAGUCGAGCGAUUUGACCCA